CCGCCAGGUUCCUCACCAUCCAGUUGAGGUAGUUGGAGACCUGCGGGGAGUCAGUGAGCACUUGGUCCAACCCCAGCCACCAGGAGGGCUCUUCUUACAGCUGAGGGGCCAGGGGCCCUCAGUGUCUUCUGCUGCUAUUCAGGGGGGUCCUCCCUGGAGGCAUGGGAGGGUUACAAUGAACGUGCAUCCUUACCCACCACCUGUCUGGGGCCCCGGCCCUGGGUUAGCCCCCCUACCCACAUGGUCCCUCCCACAUCAGACUCACGGUAGCUUGGGGUAGGGCCUGGAGGGUGUCUCCGAGAUUCCCUGAGGGCUGGUAUCUGAGCCCUCCCCUGCCCCAGUCUGCUGUCACUCACCAUUAGGGCAUAGGUAAGGCCCAGGCCCACCAGGCCAGCAGAGAGCUCCCUGUGCAGGGAGUUGGAGAUGGAGGUCACGGCCGCGAUGAGGACCACACAGGCACCGAUGUACUCCUGUGGAGGGAGGUGAGCCCGUGUGGGCCCUCCGGGGUCGAAACCACAGGGCCCCCCCAACCCACCUCACUCCCUCCAGCUCAGCAGACACUCUACCCCAGCCCAGCCAACACACCUACACAUCAUCAGACACGCAGGAGGCCUUGAAGGCCGGAGCCCCGGGAGACAACGUGUGCACCCAGCUUCUGCCCCAACCCCAGCCGUCUGCACAGGCCUGAACGCGCCUCACCAGCUGGCCCACGCGGGUCAUGUGGCCCACUUCAGACACACACUCGUCACAGUGAAACACACAGCUCUUCCGGCUACUGGUGCGCACCUCAGGUGCACAACCCCCGGGCAGGGAUGGGGAAGAGCAGGCUCGGGUCAGACCCAGGGAGGGCCUCCAGGGCUGGGGGGAGAGGAGGGCUCAGCUCCCGCCCUGUGUGCACACACGGGCUGCUAUUCCAUCCUCUCUUCCCACCCUCUGGCCCAUGUUUGGCCCUUGCUCUGGCUCCACACCCCUAUCAGAAGCCCCUGUCUCAGGGCCCGGGGUGGGGCGUGGGUGGCACUUGCCAUGCGGACUUCUAGCCAUCUGUUGGCAGCCGUGAGGAAGAGGGAGGCAAUGUUGUUGGAGUCUGUGUAUUCGAGGAGCUUCUGCUGGAACCUAGCCUCAUACCUGGAGGGCGGAUGGGGAGGGUCUGAGGGUCCACAUGACCCCCAGGCCUCUCCUUACCUACAGAGAAGCAGCCAGUAAACAUGCUGUGUCUGACGUUAUGUAUGCCAUUCCUCUCCAGACGGCCCUCCCAGCUCCCUGCUACUUUAUUCAAACUUGUCAAGACUCCCACCUCCUUCAAACUCCUGCUUUCACCCCAAGACCCAUUCUUCUCUUCAGGGUCUAGCUAUUACAGUAAAGCGCACUUCUGCCCACCUAGAUGCUCAGGCCAGAAACCAAGAAAUCAUCUGGAUUCACAGCCAAUCCCUCUACAAGACCUCUUAUUUCUACCUCCAAAAUAGUCCUUGCUUCUGCCUGCCUCUCGCCUGGGCUACUGCGUCAGCUUCCCCAUAGGUCUACCUGCUGUCUUCCCACAGCAGCCGGCAUAAUCUUUGUAAAUCAUAAAUUACAUCCCAUCUCUCUCCUGUUUGGAAUGUCAAUGGUUUUGAGGCUAAAGAACCACCUCCUUGCCAGGAGCCUGAGUGAGCUGGCUCCUGCCAACCUAGCCUCCUUCCAUGCCACAAAUUCCCUUGCUCACUGCCUUGCAGCCACAGAAAUUACAAUAAAGUCAUUUGUUACUUGCCCCUUUUCAGUUUUGUGACAAUACCAAGGUCUUUCCCACCCCAGGGCCUUUGUACAUGCUGCCCCCUCUGCCUGGAACGCUUUUUCUUCCGCUCUUCACAAGGCUGACUCCUCUCAGCCUUCAGGCUCUACCUCAAAUGACACCUCCUCAGGGUGGCCUUUCCUGGCCUAUGGUUCCCCAUCUCUGCAGCCUGUUUGUUUUAUAACCUUUGUUCUUACGUUCAUUUCUCUAGCUGCUUAUCUCCCUCACGAGACUGUAAACUCUAUGAGAAUGGAGCCCAUGGCUGUUUUGUUCACCAGGGCAUCCCUAGCCCCUGGCACUGUCAAUAAAUACUUGCUGAAUGAACAAAUGGAAACUUCCCUGACCCUGGAGGCUUCUUUCCUUCGCUUGUGCCCUCAUCAUGUUCUCCUUGCGUUACUUCGAAUGGACCUGCUUUUUCUCCUGGGCUGGGGCUCCUGGCAUCACUCUCCCUGGGCAUCCCCUCACACCAGGCUGGCUUGGCCAGGCCCAGAGGAGGGGGCGGAGCACUUGUUUCAUGACGAGCGAAGGAACAAAUGGAAGCCGAAGCCGUCUUAGCAUUGGUCUCAGGGAAACAACUGGGGACUCAGAGGGCUCAAGAUGAGUCUUACCGCGCCUUUGCUUUUGACUCUUGGAAGGUGUUUGUUCUGCUUUGAUUAUUUCUGGGCGGAGGGGCUGUGCCUGACCCAUGUGUCUGAGGAGAGCAGAGUGAGUCUCGGAGGUGUGAGAGAGAGUACGAUCGCACAGCAUGGUGGCUGAGGCGAGUGUGUAGCCCCAGGUCUGAAGGGCGUGACUGUGUGUGACGGGCGAGCCUGAGGGCUGGGUGUGCAUGAGGGUGUGUGUGGGAGGUGUGGCUUCUGGGAUGGGUGUGUGACAGUGUGAGGACUGUGAAGAGUGCCAAGGUGGGGCCAUGCAGACCCACACUGGAUUCUGAGCCUUCUUCCUUCACUGGCUGUGUGUCAGGCCCAAGACUCAGUUUCCUCAUUAGUAAAAUGGGGACACUAAUCGUUCCCACCUGGGCUGAAACAGCCUCUGAGCCCAACACUGAGUCUGGGGCUGGGGUACUCUUUUCUGGGAAACUUUUCUGGGCAAAGGCAGGGCCUCCUAGAGAAACCAGCAGGUCCCCCAGGCCUGGGUUCCACGCCUAGCACGGGCUCCGACCUUGUGUGUGACCUCAGGUUGGCGAUUCAGCCUUAUCUGUUGAACGUGGCUGCUCGAAUCCACGUCCUGGGGCUCUCGUGAGCACUGAAUGAGUAAUACACACACACACAGCACUGAGUACGGGGCCUGGCGGGUGUUAGGCGCACAUUCAGUAAAUGCUAGUCAGCUCCCAACAGGGCAGGCUGCUAGGCAAGGGCCAAUGAAUUAACCACAUCCGGGGAGGACUAGAAAGUCCUUCAUCCACAUGUCGUGGUCCCCCCUGUGUCAGCGUAGGGCGUGGGAGGCCUCGCUGGGCAGCGGCUCCUCUGACUGACCCCAGGCUGGGUGUGAGGCUGUUUGCAGGAUGCAACAUCCACCCAGAUCCUACUGAGCAGGUCCAGCCCCCCGGCAGAAAGUCACAAUCUCUCUGCCCCAGGCCCAGCCCGAAGGCCGCCAGGACUGCAUGUGUAAGAGGAACAGUACUAAGACUGAGUAGGGGCCAGGCCCGGCAGUGUGGAGGGCCCUCGAAGUCAAAGGACCUGGGGAAGUGCAGGCUUGAGACAGGAAGGGGGCUCGGAGGAGACCUUAGCAUCACACCAGGUUCCAAGGGGCUUCUGUGCGGAAGACAGCGCAGGGCUGUCCAGGGAGCGGAGCCAAGGCCAGGGCAGAGCUCAGCGUUGCUUUGCUUUCCUCAGACUAGACCCCUAAGAGGACGUUUCACUGGUGCAGAUGGCCCAGGGAGUGAAUGGGGCCUGGGCACCUCUCCUAGAGCUUUGGGGCUUGGAGGGAGGAGACGCAAGCCUCCCUGAAUCCUCUUGGCUGGUCCUUGCGCCCUGGGGUUACUCCUGGACAUGGGACUUGGUGUCGCGUGGUUACUGUCACACCCCGCACAGCUGUGCCAUCCUAAAAAUAACCUGGAAUCACUCUCUGGGUAAGGCUUAGAGACCAGAGUCCAACUAUCUGAGGCAGGGGUCUCUGGCCUGUUUGGCUGGAGGAGAAAUGUUCUAAUACAUCAGACAGAGACUGGGGCAGGGAGCAAUGGCCCCUCUACUCCCCAGGCAGCCUGAGAUGCUCCCGUCUGGCCCAACAUCAUGAUUGAGGGUGGAAAGCAGGGACACUGAAGUUUUGCGGGGAAAUCCUCCAGCUUGGUGAACUUUUAUUUACCCUUUGAUGCUGGUUCCGACAACACGUCCUCUGUGAAGUCUUCGGUGACUGCCUCCCUUCUGUGUCCCCACAGGCUGCAUUCCCCUUUCUUUCAGAGUACCUGUCACAUGGUUUUGCGCUGGCCUGCUCAAAGCCUGGACUGUAAAUGCCUCCAGGAUCGGGGCUCAUCUGACUCAUCUCUGUCUUUUUAGUGCCUGGCUUGGGUUUUAGCUCAGUACAUGUUUACUGAACGAAUGGGCAGGUUCAAGUCUAGGUUUCAGACGGCCUUACCCAGAGGGGUUAUAUAAUGUCCCUGAGCCUCAAUUUCUUUAUUUGGGAAAUGGGAAUAAUCAUGCUAACUGCCUUGGAUUGCAGUGCAGAAUGAAUGAGAUGACAUGUAAAUUACUUAGCAUAGUGUUCGAGUCACUGGAGAUUCUCCAUAAAAGAUGGCCUCGGGGUUGGCCCACAUGCUGGAAAAGCCUUUCUAGCAUUGAUAUGUGAGCAUAUACUUCCCAGCUUUGUUUCCUUUCAUGUCCCGCCUUAGUUCACAGAGGCUCUGGACUUGGCUGCAGGGCUGAGAUUUUCCUCUCUGGUUCAUACAGUGGAGCCCACCGGACCUGACCCCUCUGGGGGACAUCAUCAAGGCUUCGGGGCCUGAGGAGUGGUUGGGAGACAGGUGUCCUGGGCCUUCCUAAGCCAAGCCCUGACAACCGAACCACAUGACCUGUGGCCCUGGCCCCACUCCCACCCACCCGCACCUUGGGGUAAAUCUGGUACCUGAAGGCCCGGAUGGUGGUGAGACCUUCCACAGUUUCAGCAAAGUGGGAGAGCAGGGGGAGCUGGGUGGUGUCAUCCAGCUGCUGCAGGUCCCUGUGCAGGGGAGCAGAGUAGAAUGGUCAAGAGGGCAGGCGCAGGGCUCGGCUCGGGUCUGAAUCCUAGCUCCCCCCACAACCACUGCGUGCGCAAAUGGCUUCACCUGUCCAGGUCUCAGUGUCUCCCCUGUAGAGAGGGAAGCCAGUGGUACCACCCCGCAAAAUGCAUAAACAGCCCGCCGGGGCAGGCCCUGUAACCCCGGGCACCGUCUACCUCACGAGUGUGGUAAGGCGGGGCAUGUACGGUCGUUCUCUCUCACGGGGAACAACCUGAACCUUGCGACAGCUAGCGAAAGGAGCAGAAAGACCUCACGCAAAGCUUCCAGUCCCCUCCCCGGUAACCACAAUAGGUUCAGGCACAUCAAGGGCCAGUAUCUACAGAGCUCCUUGAGGGGGACAGGCCAGAGGUUUCCAUGGCAACAGGAUUGCCCCUGCCCCCCACAGCGGCACCCUGACAAGCACAUCAGUGCCAGGGAGGUCAGGCUGGGCUGCGGGAGGCAGCGUUCCCGGACAGACUGUCCCCGGGGCAGAGAGGAUGCCAGGGGAACAGGGUGGUUUCCCUGGCAGAAGAAAUGAAAUUUGUAAAACAGCUUGUUCAGUGUUUAAAAAGUCACAGUGAGGGGCGCCUGGGUGGCUCAGUCGUUAAGCGUCUGCCUUUGGCUCAGGUCAUGAUCCCAGGGUCCUGGGAUCGAGCCCCGCAUCGGGCUCCCUGCUCUGCGGGAAGCCUUCUUCUCCCUCUCCCACUCCCCCUGCUUGUGUUCCUUCUCUCGCUGUGUCUUGCUGUCAAAUAAAUAAAAUCUUUAAAAAAAAAUAAAAAAUAAAUAAAUAAAAAGUCACAGUGAUUUGUGAACACUAACAUGCUCCUUCUGGGUGCCAGGGGAUUCUACACCAUCCAGCAUACGAACCUUGGUCCUCACGGGCAAGGUAAUCGUGGUCAAAAUGUAUCUACAUUUAAUUGUUUUUAUUGAUAAUCAGCAUUUUGACUCCAGUUACUAAUCAACUAUGUGCACUUGGGAAAGGUACUUAACCUUUUGAUUAUAACCUGCAGUAAGAAAUGCAUUUUAUACUACAAAUCAGUGCACAUGUGCACACCCCCUGCCCCAAACAAAGGUUUCAUGAAGCAAAACUUACUGUUACUAUGUGCAUACAGUCUGAUAUGUUCUGUUCAAUUUCAUCUGAUAAAAAUGCUGGCUGUGAUCUAUGAUAUUGAUUUCAUGACCCACUGACAGGUUGCAAUUGGCGGUUUGAAAAACACUGGUCUAGAGAUUCUUUCAAAUUUUCCUGACAAUUAUUUGGACCUAUGAGUUUAGCAGAAUCACUCCCAGAAAGAACUUCUAGAGAACGUUCUUAGAAAAUUUUGAGUAGGAAAGAAGCCUGUGUGACUCGAAGGCUCCCGAGGGCAAAUGUGAUCACUGUGAAAGGCUCCCUCAAGUCGAGGCUCCCAGGCACACUCUGGCCCCCGUGGGCUGGGACGUAGGGUUGCCAUAACCCCCCUGCCAUCAGGGGCUCUCGAUUUCGUGCAUCAGCAAUCAGCCUGGUCACUGGACUCCUCCUGAGAAGCAACCCUCCUGAGAAGCAUUUUGGCAAAAUGAAUGAAGGGCAUAAAGGUAUGUAUACACCCCGACCUAGCAAUUCUACUCCUGACUCUAUCUCCUAAGGAAAUAGUUCUGAUAUUAACGGCAGGGUGUGUGUGUGUGUGUGUGUGUGUGUGUUUGUGUGUGUGUGCUGACAGAUGGUUACAUCAGGGUGGUGGAAGAUGAAUAAUAUCUCCCCUUCCUUCAUUUCUAUUUUCCUUUUCAGGGGCAAUAGGACUCUACUACUUUUUGAUGAUUACUCUAGUAAGAGUACCCAGCUGCCCAUUGCAAAGCAUCUCCCCGCCCCCUGAGGCUGGCAAAGGCUGCCAUCACCUGGACGCCACCCGGAAGUACUUCUGGAUGAAGUAGCAGACCACGGCCAGGGGAAAGAGGGCCACGAGGAACACAGGCGUGACAUAGGAGAUGACGGCCAGGGCUGAGACGCAGAGCAGGGUGGAGCGGCUCAAGCACUCCAGCGUGGAUGGGAUGUGCUGACGGAGGGGAGGGUGAGAGAGGGAGGGUGGCUGCCUGGCCCUUAGGACAUACUCACCUUCUCCAGCUCUUGGUCCUGCCGGUUCAUGAGGGUCUUCCAGUGCUCAAAGAGCUGGCACUCAGACCUCUGGAAAUCCUUGAGCGUACCCUCCCUCUGGAUGGUGCCAUCCUUCAUGGCAAUGAUCUGGAAAGGCAGAAACAGACCCAGCCCCGGGGCUGAACGGGAAGGGGGUGUGGCGGUCACACCCCCACCUCGGCAAGGGCUCUGAGAUGGACUGGCACACAUCCUCUUCCCCACCACAACUGGCCGCUGGCCUCCCCGCUGCAGUCCUUACCGACACACUCCCAGGAUCUAGAGCUGAUCUUGACUUAAAUGCAUCGGACCCUCGGUGGGUUAGAGGGUGGGGAGAUGGCUCUCCCAUCCAAAGAGGCAGCCCCAAGGCCAGGGGGAUGAGUCAUCAAACUGGGCCAUAAACAGAAGAGUUGUCUUGUGGGUGCCAUUGAGUUCCCUCUCCUUGGAGGUACGUAAGCCAGUUGCCUAAUUCCUUCUCAGGGAUGGCGUGGAGGGGAGCUGCACAUGGCUAAGUCCCUCUGGCCAACUCUGACCACCUUCAGGGAGGCCCAGGUCAGUGGGGAAGCAUGUCUUGGACCAAACAGCUGUAGUUGCCGUGGUCACUGGCGCAAGCCCUGGGGCCACCACCUGAGCGCCUGUCCAGUGUCCUUGCGGACUCUCCUCUCACCUGACGAG
Molecule: long non-coding RNA, 7731 nt
Organism: Mirounga angustirostris (Northern elephant seal)
Lineage: Eukaryota; Metazoa; Chordata; Mammalia; Carnivora; Phocidae
Exons: 4
Source: RefSeq, a predicted model, not a curated record